GGAGUCUGGUCACCCUGUAGAGGACUUGGAUUACAGUUUCUCUAAACUGAAAAGGACUUUAGAAAUGAUCUAUAAAGCCCCUUAUCACACAUAGACUUGGAGAAAUUAUCUCAUGGUGUACAGAAUCAAGGUGGCUUAUCUCCAGAAGGAAAGGGUACAAGGCCAGACAAGGAGGCCAGUGGAAGGCUGUUGUGAGGGGCCAGCAUCCAGGUGAGAGAUGCUAGCCCAGAAGGUAAGGGUGGUGGCAGGGGAAAGAUGAUCGGGGUCAGAUUCUGUCUAUGUUUUGAAGGCAGAACCAAGAGGAUUUUCUGGCAGACCAGGUAGGAUGUGAAAGAGAAGAGUUGAGGAUGACUCCAAGAUUUUUUAACCCAGUAAACAGUCUCAAAUCUUAAAGACCGUGUUUAAGAAAUAUUUCACUUGAGUCAUUUGUGGGAAAAUAGAUGCACCUUCAAGCUAUGUUAAAUGAACUAAAUCUGACACACAAGCUUAAAUAUGAGAAACCCAAAUUAUAAAUGAAGAGCAAAAUAAAAGAUAGAUAAUAAGAAAUAGGGAGAGCUUUCUCAAAUGGGAAGGAGGACAAGAGAAGGAGGGCGUGGGGAGGGAGGAGAGGGAAAGGGGAUGAAAAAGGAAUUAAAAUGUGUUACAUACGUGUAUCAACUCCACACAGG
RNAcentral lists this long non-coding RNA (668 nucleotides) under Heterocephalus glaber (naked mole-rat). RNAcentral describes it as "lncRNA (ENSHGLG00000031910.1)". The record is from RNAcentral. Lineage: Eukaryota; Metazoa; Chordata; Mammalia; Rodentia; Bathyergidae.